RNAcentral lists this transfer RNA (74 nucleotides) under Mus musculus (house mouse). RNAcentral describes it as "tRNA-Ile". The record is from RNAcentral. Lineage: Eukaryota; Metazoa; Chordata; Mammalia; Rodentia; Muridae.
GGCUAGUUAGCUCAGUUGGUUAGAGGGUGGUGCUAAUAACGUCAAGGUUUCUGGUUCGAUCCCCGUAUGGGGCA